This 992-nucleotide long non-coding RNA is filed under the name Sinocyclocheilus anshuiensis. RNAcentral describes it as "lncRNA (ENSSANG00000018688.1)". The record is from RNAcentral. Lineage: Eukaryota; Metazoa; Chordata; Actinopteri; Cypriniformes; Cyprinidae.
GCUCUAUAGUGCCAUCAACCUCCGCCCAUAAAUUCUGCCACUUCCUCUUCACGUUUAAUUGCCUACAGACUCAAACAGACGGCACGUCUACCGACACCGAAGGCUGUGGGAAGAAGAAGACUUUCCAUUAAGGGUUCUCUAAGGAAAUGACUGGCUGGCAAAGUGAAGAGCUUGCUGGGAAUGAUUAUCCUCGUUGACUAUAAUGAAACAAGCGGCGCUGGACGUGUAUUCAGUACUACUUGCAGACAGAUGUGUUGAAGACCGUUCAUCAGAAGAAACGUUUAUCUCAUCCACUGAUGUCCAACUUCGUGAUCAAAACAAACGCACGUCGGACUGCGUCAACCCGACAAGGAUGGUCUGCGAUCUCUUUCUUGGAACUGCAAGGAUAUGAACUGACACCGGGGCUGGACUGACUUUUGUGCUGUGCUCUGCACAACACAACUUAAAAACCAUACUCAAACUCUCAUACACACAUGCACAGUGAUACAAGGGCGGAAAACAACGUGCCUACUAGUGAUGGCGUAGCCAGAAGAAACAACAUGUCCUUCCAGCACAGAUGGCAAAUUUCAUUGGGGAUCUUGCUUGUGAUGGCAGGCCUGGCUCUCUUUAUGACUAUGGAUAUGUACAUUGUUCUCAUUGGCAUGGCUAUAGUGUGUCUGGGCCUGUUUAUUCUCAUCCGUGCCUUCUGCAUGGUCAUUAAAUCCAGUCAUGUAGCUGUGACGGGUCACUUCCUUCUACACCCGCGAACAGGCACCCGUUACACCCACCAUCAAGCCAUUGCGCUGCAAAGGAGGCUGGAUCGGAUCCGGAGGGCUACGGCAGAGGAGCAGAGUCCAGUCCAAGUGCCUCCCACCUCAGACACCAGUCCACAGAGCCAACCUGCAACCCCUCCCCCCUGGCAAAUGGAGCCGCCGCCAUCCUAUGAGACUGUUAUGAAGACCACUACAGCUGUAAACCAAGUAUAACCACUGCUUUGACUGUAGACACCGACA